ACACUGCUGAGGAGUCCCACAAUAAGACAAGACGGCCGUCCAGUGU
Molecule: non-coding RNA, 46 nt
Filed under: Schistosoma margrebowiei
Lineage: Eukaryota; Metazoa; Platyhelminthes; Trematoda; Strigeidida; Schistosomatidae
Source: RNAcentral